Molecule: ribosomal RNA, 434 nt
Filed under: uncultured bacterium
Lineage: Bacteria
Description: partial 16S ribosomal RNA
Rfam family: Bacterial small subunit ribosomal RNA
Source: RNAcentral
AGCGAACGCUGGCGGCAGGCCUAACACAUGCAAGUCGAACGAACCUUUCGGGGUUAGUGGCGGACGGGUGGGUAACACGUGGGAACGUGCCUUUAGGUUCGGAAUUACUCAGGGAAACUUGUGCUAAUACCGAAUGUGCCCUUCGGGGGAAAGAUUUAUCGCCUUUAGAGCGGCCCGCGUCUGAUUAGCUAGUUGGUUGAGGUAAUGGCUCACCAAGGCGACGAUCAGUAGCUGGUCUGAGAGGAUGAUCAGCCACAUUGGGACUGAGACACGGCCCAAACUCCUACGGGAGGCAGCAGUGGGGAAUCUUGCGCAAUGGGCGAAAGCCUGACGCAGCCAUGCCGCGUGAAUGAUGAAGGUCUUAGGAUUGUAAAAUUCUUUCACCGGGGACGAUAAUGACGGUACCCGGAGAAGAAGCCCCGGCUAACUUCGUG